Lingula anatina is the source of this 689-nucleotide long non-coding RNA. The record is from RefSeq and is a predicted model, not a curated record. NCBI's taxonomy places the organism in Eukaryota, Metazoa, Brachiopoda, Lingulata, Lingulida, Lingulidae.
CGUUCCACUGAGCAAGUGACUCGAGAGCGUUUUUCUCCAUAAAUCUUGCAUUUCGGUAAAAAAAAUUGAAUGUUCAGCUUUUUCAAGUGUAUAUUCAUAGGAUACAAUGUGUCACUGUCAUAGUGAGAGUUGUUAUGGAAAAUAAUACGUGAAAAAACGACAUCGGUGCUGCAGAUCGACCAUAACAUGGUUUAGAAUGGAAAAUCUACUGUUUGCCUUUCAAGUUACAUAGCUUUGGGUUUACAGACUAAAAGUUUUAGUGAAAUGUUGACAGUAUACCUAUCCCUACCUAAGCUAUAGCAUGAGAAUGGACUUGAUGGCAUGGAAUGAUGAAAAGAUACCAGUUAGACAAAGCAGAAGAUUCCCGAAUUUCAUAUCAGCUGACAAUAAGGGAAGAGGUGUUCUAGUCAAGACCAGGGAAAAUUUAUUUCCAUACGAUUUUGUGUGAUGGUGCUGUUGAUGCAGGUGUGACUGAACAAGAGAUGGUGUUUUGUAGAGUCUUGGAUACUGUUUUACCCUAGAAACCUUUCUCAUAGCAGACACGUUCUGGAACAAUACUUUCUUUAAGUAUUAACAUUUGACCUAAAAGACUUCCACUGAGAGUGGCCUGCAUUUAAAGAGCACAUAGGUGGCAUGUUUAUAGUGAAAAAAAGUAAAGAUAUGUGUAUGGGUUUGUUUCAAGGCUAGGA